This 599-nucleotide ribosomal RNA is filed under the name uncultured bacterium. RNAcentral's name for it is "partial 16S ribosomal RNA". It matches the Rfam family "Bacterial small subunit ribosomal RNA", at positions 241 to 856 of the family's 1533-position model. The record is from RNAcentral.
UUAGUUAGUUGGUAGGGUAAUGGCCUACCAAGGCUGCGAUGGGUAGCCGGUCUGAGAGGAUGGUCGGCCACACUGGGACUGAGACACGGCCCAGACUCCUACGGGAGGCAGCAGUGGGGAAUUUUGCGCAAUGGGGGGAACCUUGACGCAGCGACGCCGCGUGGGUGAUGAAGGCCUUCGGGUUGUAAAGCCCUGUUGGGGGGGAAGAUAAUGACGGUACCCCCUGAGGAAGCCCCGGCUAACUACGUGCCAGCAGCCGCGGUAAGACGUAGGGGGCGAGCGUUGUCCGGAAUUACUGGGCGUAAAGGGCGUGUAGGCGGCUUUUCAAGUCGGCUGUGAAAUUCCCCGGCUUAACCGGGGGGGUGCAGUCGAAACUGAUGGGCUUGAGUGCAGGAGAGGGUGGUGGAAUUCCCGGUGUAGCGGUGACAUGCGUAGAUAUCGGGAGGAACACCGGUGGCGAAGGCGACCUCCUGGCCUGUUACUGACGCUGAGGCGCGAAAGCUGGGGGAGCAAACAGGAUUAGAUACCCUGGUAGUCCCAGCUGUAAACUCUGGGUACUAGGUGUAGGGGGCUUCGAUGCCCUCUGUGCCGUAGUUAAC